RNAcentral lists this long non-coding RNA (966 nucleotides) under Parus major (Great Tit). Its description in RNAcentral is "lncRNA (ENSPMJG00000012666.1)". The record is from RNAcentral. Lineage: Eukaryota; Metazoa; Chordata; Aves; Passeriformes; Paridae.
UUCUGCAGCAGGUCUGACUGGAUCUGAUGUCUGCCAGAGACUGUUCAGCAGCCGGGCCCCGGAGGUAAGAGCAGUGACUGAGAAAGGCUUCUCCCAAGUAAAAUAUGACUUAUACAUAGGAACAGAGCACUUGGGGAGAAAAAUGCUAAUGUGAGAUGAGCUGAUGUCUCACCUGAAAGAUCUACAGGCCUAACACUUCCUUGGACUCCCUUUUCUGGAUGGAAAUACCCCUGAAGGACUUCGGUUUUCUUAGCUUCAGAGCAGAGAUCUUUAUAACAAGGCAAUGCCUCUGCUUUGUGUGUUUGUGAGCUCCUUUUGCCAAGCUCGUCUGGUGAAGAAACUAAUGGACACUGGAAACAUUCCUGUGACCGCCCUGCUUCGUGUACUGCAUGCUGCACAUCAGCACAAGAGGAGUCCCUGCUUCUAAAACUGAACUCUCUUUCUUAACAACCUCAUUUACCAGGACACUGAGCUGGCAAAUCAGAUGCACACGACUUGCCUGGCUGUGCUGCGUCCAAGCUCUGCCUUCCUGCAACACAGGCUCUCCCCUUGAAGUUCACUGCAGCCAGAAACUCACAAGACAACGUGAGCAGUGUGCUCAUGCAGCUGGAUACUUCAAUGAAUGGUUCAAAUAAAGUAUCUGUUGUUUAAAAAUGAAGACUCUUCAGUGGACUAACACUUUACAGUAAAGCCCCCAAAGAAGGUAUGCUUCCCCUUUUCUAAAUGCUGUGACUAAAGUUAUUGAGAGAAAACUUGAGAUAAAAUGUGAGGCAUCCACCCUCACAUCUCUAUGUAAAACAAAACAAAAAAACCAAACCAAAACAAAACAAGACAGACAGAACCCGGGACAACGUUAUAUGGAUUCAGAGAAAGAAGAGACUCAAUCUGAUGAAGGUUCAAAAAGAAAAUGAAAGGAAAUAUCUGUCUGGAAAACUGAAUAAAGGAGAUGCACUGUGUUUGGACCCA